GAGUAAUGUAUAGGAAUCUACCUAGUAGUACGGAAUAAUUGUUGGAAACGGCAACUAAUACCGUAUACACCCUACGGGGGAAAAAUUUAUUGCUAUUAGAUGAGCCUAUAUUAGAUUAGUUAGUUGGUGAGGUAAAGGCUUACCAAGACAAUGAUCUAUAGCUGAUCUGAGAGGAUGAUCAGCCACACUGGAACUGAGAUACGGUCCAGACUCCUACGGGAGGCAGCAGUGGGGAAUAUUGGACAAUGGGCGAAAGCCUGAUCCAGCCAUGCCGCAUGAGUGAAGAAGGCCUUCGGGUUGUAAAGCUCUUUUAGUGAGGAAGAUAAUGACGGUACUCACAGAAGAAGUCCUGGCUAACUCCGUGCCAGCAGCCGCGGUAAUACGGAGAGGGCUAGCGUUAUUCGGAAUCAUUGGGCGUAAAGGGCGCGUAGGCGGGUUAGUAAGUUAAAAGUGAAAUCCCAAGGCUCAACCUUGGAACUGCUUUUAAAACUGCUAGUCUAGAGAUUGGAAGAGGAUAGAGGAAUUCCUAGUGUAGAGAUGAAAUUCGUAAAUAUUANGAGGAACACCAGUGGCGAAGGCGUCUAUCUGGUUCAAAUCUGACGCUGANGCGCGAA
RNAcentral lists this ribosomal RNA (614 nucleotides) under uncultured Hyphomicrobiales bacterium. RNAcentral's name for it is "bacterial SSU rRNA". It matches the Rfam family "Bacterial small subunit ribosomal RNA", at positions 108 to 757 of the family's 1533-position model. The record is from RNAcentral. Lineage: Bacteria; Pseudomonadati; Pseudomonadota; Alphaproteobacteria; Hyphomicrobiales.